Molecule: ribosomal RNA, 615 nt
Filed under: uncultured Legionella sp.
Lineage: Bacteria; Pseudomonadati; Pseudomonadota; Gammaproteobacteria; Legionellales; Legionellaceae
Description: bacterial SSU rRNA
Rfam family: Bacterial small subunit ribosomal RNA
Source: RNAcentral
UAGCUAGUUGGUGGGGUAAGGGCCUACCAAGGCGACGAUCGGUAGCUGGUCUGAGAGGAUGACCAGCCACACUGGAACUGAGACACGGUCCAGACUCCUACGGGAGGCAGCAGUGGGGAAUAUUGGACAAUGGGGGGAACCCUGAUCCAGCAAUGCCGCGUGUGUGAAGAAGGCCUGAGGGUUGUAAAGCACUUUCAGUGGGGGGAGUAUGCUUAGGUUAAGAGCUAGAGUAUAGGACGUUACCCACAGAAGAAGCACCGGCUAACUCCGUGCCAGUAGCCGCGGUAAUACGGAGGGUGCGAGCGUUAAUCGGAAUUACUGGGCGUAAAGGGUGCGUAGGUUGUUUGGUAAGUUAUCUGUGAAAUCCCUGGGCUUAAUCUGGGCAGGUCAGAUAAAACUGCUGAACUCGAGUAUAGGAGAGGGUAGUGGAAUUUCCGGUGUAGCGGUGAAAUGCGUAGAGAUCGGAAGGAACACCAGUGGCGAAGGCGGCUACCUGGCCUAAUACUGACACUGAGGCACGAAAGCGUGGGGAGCAAACAGGAUUAGAUACCCUGGUAGUCCACGCUGUAAACGAUGUCAACUAGCUGUUGGGUAUAUGAAUAUAUUUAGUGGCGC